Molecule: long non-coding RNA, 611 nt
Filed under: Gallus gallus (chicken)
Lineage: Eukaryota; Metazoa; Chordata; Aves; Galliformes; Phasianidae
Source: RNAcentral
UGGUAAUCAGGGCUUGUUUAAUAACAAAACUCCAGCUAUUGUAGAACAAUAUUCUCCGGCAUCAUUGUAAUAUACAAUACAGGGAAUGCUCUCAGCAAUCUGAGAAGGUUAUGAGCCGCGGCCGUCGGCUCCGCGGGGGCGUCCAUUCCGUGCCCUUCGGCACAGCCCACAGCUGCGGGUCCCGUCCGUGCCCGGGGGGGCCCCGUUCGGGUCCGUGGAGGUCUCUCUCAGCGGCACAGUAUGCGGUCGGCAGCGGCCAUGCACGGAGCCUCGGGAGGCUCAGCAGCAGCGGGGGGUCGGGGAGGGCCGGGCUGCAGCGCCAGCUGCAGGUCCCAGAUGUAGUCGAUCACGUGCUGCAGGAGCUCCACUUUAGAGACCCUCCGGUGCCGCGGCAGCGUGGGCACCAGCGCCCGGAGUCGCGAGUAGCAGCCCUUCAUGUCAUACAGCAGCGCGGCGGCCGCCUGCUCAGCAGCGACAGCUCCCGGGCCCGGCCCGCAGCGAGCGGCUUCCCCGGGCCGCACGGCCUUCAGUGCCCCACCGGGACCGGCGGGCAGCGGCGAAGGGGCGGCAGCGGCGACCUUCAUAGCGACGAGAAGCAAUGGGACCCCGCG